GGAGGCAGAGGUAACAGCCAAUGAUGGUUUGUUUACGGCCCGGCGCGCUGUGAGUGGCCGCUUCUGACCAAUCUGUAGUCGCCGUUAUUUCGUCCAAUCUCAGACUGCAGUACCACCUGAGUCUGUUAAAAGAUGGAAGGUGCAGAGGCAGAUGAUAUUGGGGCUUCGUUCCUGUCUAAUGAACAGUACAUGGUGGAGGGUCACAGUGUUCAUGGCCAUCAACACGAAGACGAAGAUAAAGACGACGUCCCUCACCUACUGCGGGAACAAGAUCGUUUUUUACCCAUAGCGAACGUUGCCCGGAUAAUGAAGAAGGGGAUUCCGAAGACUGGCAAGGUAGGAUACAACAAGAUUGCCAAAGAUGCUCGUGAAUGUGUACAGGAGUGUGUUAGUGAGUUCAUCAGUUUUGUAACAAGUGAAGCAUCUGACCGCUGCCACCAGGAGAAGAGAAAGACCAUCAAUGGUGAAGACAUCUUGUGGGCCAUGAAUGCAUUAGGAUUUGAAAACUACGUGGAGCCACUAAAAAUCUACCUCCAAAAAUUCCGUGAGUCUACCAAAGGAGACAAACCAAGUGAAGGAGCUCUGGAAGGGACCUUCGAUGUGGACUAUACAAAUAACAUGACCACCUUCUCAACAGACCACGUCAAUCAGUCCGAAAUUGUGUGUACAUAUGGUCCGGCGGGUCAGGUCACUCAGCAGUUUACUUUAGGUUGAAAUUGUGUUCUUUAGUGCGUGUAUGUGUGUGUGCGUGCGUGUGUGUGUGUGUGUUUUGUUUUGAAUUUUUAUGCAAAUUGUUCGUGGGACAGAACAUGGAGAAAGUGUGGAAGAACACGAUCUGUUCUAAAUAUGCAGUUGUAUAAUCACGUAUACCGGUAAAAUAGGAGAUGUUUUAAGUUUUGUUAAAGCGUACUACUGUACUUGUGUGUAUGGUGUGCUGUUCUGCCCUCACAUUCUAACAUUGUCAGCACAAAGUGUGAGUUAUGCCUUUGUUGGGAAGUAGUUGCGUAUUCAAUUUUAUUUAUUUUUUCUAAAGACAGUAGUUUUGAUGAUAAGCAAAUGUUCCUUAAAAUUUUUAAUUAAAAGCUCAGGGACUUUUCUGUACUUACCUUGGCUCUGUAUUAUAGCUGUCAUCCUCCUAAGAUUUUUAAAAAUAAUAUAAUUUACAUAAAAGUAUAUAUCACUUGGUGAUAUUUUGUUGACUAGCUGCACUUUAUCAAAUUAAUAUGGAAAAGUUUGGCAGUGAUCAGGGAAUGAGUGUUGGUGUUUGGAUGAAAGGUUUGUGGCACCAUAGCACUGUGGAUUCCUGGCUUACAAGACUGAUCAUCCCACGGCCAGACAGUGUAGCUCUGCUCUGGCAUAUUGUAUGCUGUAAUAACCAUUCCCUAGGUCCAAUUUCAGUAUUCUGGGUUUAGCUCAACUGGCCACUUACACCAGGUCCAGUACUCUGGGUUAAGCUGAACUGGCCACUCACACCAGGUCCAGUACUCUGGGUUAAGCUGACCGGGCCACUCACACCAGGUCCAGGUUCAGUACUCUGGGUUAAGCUGACCGGGCCACUCCUAAGGUUCAGUAUAGUACGUACUCUGGGUUAAGCCACCAACCCCCUAUAAAUUGUUGUAAAUGUCAUAAAAAAUGUUUAGAUGAAUCACAGGUGGAUAAAAAUUUUGGUCGCCUUGGAUUGUAAGAAAAGGAGAUUUUUUCACAAAAGCAAAGUUAUCCCAAUAUGUUCUUCCUUUGUGUGUGUGUUUUUUUUUUUUUAAUUGGACAUGAUCAUAUAGGGUUAAUGUUACAUCUACAAACAAUUAGGUACUGUACUGUAUUUCAUAUUUAUAACAGGAUUUCAAAUUGUUCUCAUAUGCAUAGAGCUCUCAGUCAUUUCAAGUCUCUGUGCUGUAUCCCUUCUAUACUUAAGAACACACCACCUACUGAAGUACUGUAGCCAAAGAGGUUGCAGGUAACUAACAUUAUUUUUUAAAUCGGAUCACCACUAAACUAGACACUUUAAUUGUAAAAGAAAUGUGCCUUUUUCAAAAAACUGUUUGCUUUAUGGGGAUAUUACACCAUUUAAUAUUUUUUAUUUUAUUAUUUGUGUAAUAAAAUUGAGUGCAUACAUGUACAGUUUAAGUUAAGUAAAGUAAUGUGUAUGAAGAAAUAUGACAUCUAUCGAUUACAGUAACAAAUGAAGCGUUCAACUUUGGAUACCACGACAGCUUGUGACUAGAGAACUUUAAUCUUUGCUGGAAUGUAAUAGAAAUAAUUUAUAUACUAAGGGACACCUGUAAUUUAUGAGCAACCUGUUGACAUCUGUAACCAUUCUUGAAAAUUUGAAAACAUCAAACCAGAAUAUUCUUGCAUUCCACAGCAUUUGCAUAAUGUUAUAAAUUCAUUAAUUGCUUCAUAUCUGUAAGAUUUCAGAAACUAUUUUUUCUGUAUUUUAAAUAUUAUUCAAAAUCAUAUAUAAUUCAAUAAAAAGUUGAUAAUA
Molecule: unclassified non-coding RNA, 2482 nt
Filed under: Homarus americanus (American lobster)
Lineage: Eukaryota; Metazoa; Arthropoda; Malacostraca; Decapoda; Nephropidae
Description: nuclear transcription factor Y subunit B-1-like, transcript variant X3
Source: RNAcentral